AAUAGGAGCAUGAUAAAUAAGAUUUUUGUUCCUGUUUUUUAGCUUUUUCCUCUUGAAAAAUUUAAAUCCAACUAAAAAUGCUAAAAGUCAGAAGAAAAAAUCUGAUUUGUCGUACUCCUAUU
Molecule: non-coding RNA, 122 nt
Organism: Gossypium raimondii (Peruvian cotton)
Lineage: Eukaryota; Viridiplantae; Streptophyta; Magnoliopsida; Malvales; Malvaceae
Source: Rfam